CUGCAGGACAAGUUCGAGCAUCUUAAAAUGAUUCAACAGGAGGAGAUAAGGAAGCUCGAGGAAGAGAAAAAACAACUGGAAGGAGAAAUCAUAGAUUUUUAUAAAAUGAAAGCUGCCUCUGAAGCACUGCAGACUCAGCUGAGCACUG
Molecule: long non-coding RNA, 148 nt
Filed under: Pongo abelii (Sumatran orangutan)
Lineage: Eukaryota; Metazoa; Chordata; Mammalia; Primates; Hominidae
Description: lincRNA
Source: RNAcentral